GACGAACGCUGGCGGCGUGCCUAAUACAUGCAAGUCGAACGCACAGUUUAUACCGUAGCUUGCUACACCAUAAACUGUGAGUUGCGAACGGGUGAGUAACGCGUAGGUAACCUGCCUGGUAGCGGGGGAUAACUAUUGGAAACGAUAGCUAAUACCGCAUAAUAUUGAUUAUUGCAUGAUAAUUGAUUGAAAGAUGCUAUUGCAUCACUACCAGAUGGACCUGCGUUGUAUUAGCUAGUAGGUGAGGUAACGGCUCACCUAGGCGACGAUACAUAGCCGACCGGAGAGGGGGAUCGGCCACACUGGGACUGAGACACGGCCCAGACGCCUACGGGAGGCAGCAGUAGGGAAUCUUCGGCAAGGGAAGAAAGGCUGACCGAGCAACGCCGCGGGAGUGAAGAAGGGUGUCGGAUCGUAAAGAUCUGUUGUAAGAGAAGAACGGGUGUGAGAGUGGAAAGUUCACAAUGUGACGGUAGCUGAACAGAAAGGGACGGCUAACCACGUG
RNAcentral lists this ribosomal RNA (505 nucleotides) under uncultured bacterium. RNAcentral describes it as "partial 16S ribosomal RNA". It matches the Rfam family "Bacterial small subunit ribosomal RNA", at positions 28 to 507 of the family's 1533-position model. The record is from RNAcentral.